Molecule: ribosomal RNA, 887 nt
Filed under: uncultured bacterium
Lineage: Bacteria
Description: bacterial SSU rRNA
Rfam family: Bacterial small subunit ribosomal RNA
Source: RNAcentral
AGAGUUUGAUCAUGGCUCAGAACGUACGCUGGCGGCACGCCUAACACAUGCAAGUCGAACGCAGUAGCAAUACUGAGUGGCAAACGGGUGAGUAUAAUGUGGGAAUCUGCCUUUUGGUUUGGAAUAACACGGGGAAACUUGUGCUAAUACCGAAUAAGCCCUUACGGGGAAAGUUUUAAUGCCGAAAGAUGAGCCCGCACUUGAUUAGCUAGUUGGUAAGGUAAAAGCUUACCAAGGCAAUGAUCAAUAGCUGUUCUUAGAGGAAGACCAGCCACAUUGGGACUGAGACACGGCCCAGACUCCUACGGGAGGCAGCAGUGGGGAAUCUUGCACAAUGGGGGAAACCCUGAUGCAGCGAUGCCGCGUGAGUGAAGAAGGCCUUUGGGUUGUAAAACUCUUUCGUCGGGGAAGAAAAUGACUGUACCCGAAUAAGAAGGUCCGGCUAACUUCGUGCCAGCAGCCGCGGUAAUACGAAGGGACCUAGCGUAGUUCGGAAUUACUGGGCUUAAAGAGCUCGUAGGUGGUUAAAAAAGUUGAUGGUGAAAUCCCAAGGCUCAACCUUGGAACUGCCAUCAAAACUUUUUAGCUAGAGUGUGAUAGAGGUAAGUGGAAUUUCUAGUGUAGAGGUGAAAUUCGUAGAUAUUAGAAAGAACACCAAAUGCGAAGGCAACUUACUGGGUCACUACUGACACUGAGGAGCUAAAGCAUGGGUAGCGAAGAGGAUUAGAUACCCUCGUAGUCCAUGCCGUAAACGAUGUGUGCUAGACGUUGGAAAUAUAUUUUUCAGUGUCGCAGCGAAAGCAUUAAGCACACCGCCUGGGGAGUACGACCGCAAGGUUAAAACUCAAAUGAAUUGACGGGGACCCGCACAAGCAGUGGAGCAUGUG